Molecule: long non-coding RNA, 1477 nt
Organism: Syngnathus typhle (broad-nosed pipefish)
Lineage: Eukaryota; Metazoa; Chordata; Actinopteri; Syngnathiformes; Syngnathidae
Exons: 4
Source: RefSeq, a predicted model, not a curated record
GGCUUGGCUUUUCUGCCAAUCUGACAACAGGCCACAAUAUUAGGCAUGCAUCAUUUAAUGACCUCUGAGUAAUUCCCGUUACUGUAUGUAAUGUUUUGUUAUGCUAUGCUAUGCAUUCUGCAUCUGUACCUCUUAGCUCCAGUGGUAGAACUCCCCUGACCACACUUCUUUUAGAGUCGCUGGAGUAACAGGAAUCGUGGAGAUCCAGUACUCGCUUAUGUGUAAAGGCUGAAGAGCUCUGCCUGCCUGGACCUCUGCAUCCUGAAGCACACCUAGAUACUCCCACUGGCAGAGGGAGUAACAGAGGAAGAAACAAGGGACGAUGAUGGCAAUCCUCCGGAUAUACUUGGGGGUGAAAUUCGACCCAUCUUGGUUCUGUUCGGACUUCUUGCCGAGUCCGUGUCCCACUGGCAUGCCCCGUUGUGUUGUCUUCUCCAGGAGGUGGAUUCUCCAGACGGGAGUUGUUUUUUCCAGGGUCACCAAGCAACUCCGUAUGGUGGUGUGCUCGUGGAUCAUAAAGAUGGCAAACACUUGCAUGACGGAUGUUUGGAAGUGGAGGCGAGCGUCUGAGCUGUGGUCCACUUCCUGCCGUGUGACCCGCCUCCUCCUGCCUGACACCUCUGACCCAUAUUCAGUUCCUAGCAUAACCAAGUCCUGAAGACACGGGAGAUGAAACUUUUGGUUCAGCUCUCGUAAAGAUGAAGAAAGUUUUAUUUAGUUCUCAUUCUUACUCGUGAGUACAGAACAAGAGGGCCUCGGCGAGUGCUAUAUGUUUUCGGGAUUGUUGACGCUUCACUCCCUAGUAGGCUUCCGCUGUUGGUCAGAUGCAGGAGAGCAUCAUGGGAUUUCCAGAUAUAGUAGUCCUAUAUUUGGGUCAUAUAUUUUAAUGACAUAGUUAGGGAUUGAAGUAGUAGAAAAGCCACAAUAUGAAAAGCAUUACUUUGUAUUCUAUUUGCUAAAAACAAGGAAAGGAAAUAAUGUGCAUAAAGUCAGAUCAAGCAAGAAUUGAGGAAAUGACACAAAGUGAAAGUCAAUGCAACCUCUUUGUCUCCAACGCUAACAUAUCAAGCAAACUUUAACACCUGUGGCGUGUAGCAGACGUCCAGUCGGCCACCUGUACUCUCAGUGAAGACUCGAGCGUACCCCCGACUCAGCGGCGACAGAGACAAAUCCAUGGUGUUAACUCCUAUCUCGUCUAAAAAAAAAGCAUUUAUUAAAUGAGCAUGUAUUCCAGCGUCAAUGGUGUUAUGAUCCUAUACAUGGAUCUGGUGGAAUUCCUAAAGGUGGGAAAGUUUGUUAAGAAAAAUAGAAUGGACGUACCUGCUACCUCCUAAGUUUGGGUUAGAGCAUGAAUGUAUGCUUGUUGCUAGGAUGUAUGAUUCACUACUUUGUGUUACCGUUGCCCCCAGCUUCAGCUGCUUGGAUUACCACACGCACACAUUCGCACACGCACGCACACAACUUUUGUAUGAAGUAU